Molecule: small RNA, 134 nt
Filed under: Cavia porcellus (domestic guinea pig)
Lineage: Eukaryota; Metazoa; Chordata; Mammalia; Rodentia; Caviidae
Description: 7SK RNA (ENSCPOG00000028478.2)
Rfam family: 7SK RNA
About the family: 7SK was discovered as an abundant small nuclear RNA in the mid-70s but a possible function has only recently been suggested. Two independent studies have found that 7SK RNA binds the CDK9/cyclin T complex (known as elongation factor P-TEFb).
Source: RNAcentral
UCUAGCCUGGGUCGACUGGACAAUAACCCGAUAGAGGAGAACUGUUCCUUGGUCAAGGGUGUAUGAGUAGUUGCACUCCCCUUCUAGAACCUACAAAUAAACUCUCAAGGAAGAUACUAAAUUAUAAAUCAAAC